UUGACAGCAACGUCUGUAACCGCCUGGUAGUGGGCCAUUCAGAGUCGCACGAAGUUUGUUAUGGAGAGUAGUGGCAUCAGGGGUCAUUCAGGGCCACGUGGAGUUUGUUACGGAGAGUGGAGUGGUGUCCGUUGUCGUGACUUGCCAGAGAGUGGUGGAGCCACGUGAAUUUUAUUACAGAGAGUGGAGUAGGGUAGUGGCCAUUAUCGUGACUUGUCGGAGAGUUCGGAUCUGUCGGCUGGAGCUCGGUUGGGAUGUCUGAUGAAGCAGAAUGGCUCUCUGUCCCAUUGAUCUAGGAGAAGC
Molecule: long non-coding RNA, 303 nt
Filed under: Elaeis guineensis (African oil palm)
Lineage: Eukaryota; Viridiplantae; Streptophyta; Magnoliopsida; Arecales; Arecaceae
Description: long non-coding RNA (EGUI_LNC066159)
Source: RNAcentral